Molecule: ribosomal RNA, 446 nt
Filed under: uncultured bacterium
Lineage: Bacteria
Description: SSU rRNA
Rfam family: Bacterial small subunit ribosomal RNA
Source: RNAcentral
AGAACGAACGCUGGCGGCAGGCUUAACACAUGCAAGUCGAACGCCCUAGCAAUAGGGAGUGGCAGACGGGUGAGUAACGCGUGGGAAUCUACCCAGUCCUUCGGAACAACACAGGGAAACUUGUGCUAAUACCGGAUACGCCCUACGGGGGAAAGAUUUAUCGGGAUUGGAUGAGCCCGCGUUGGAUUAGCUAGUUGGUGAGGUAACGGCUCACCAAGGCGACGAUCCAUAGCUGGUCUGAGAGGAUGAUCAGCCACACUGGGACUGAGACACGGCCCAGACUCCUACGGGAGGCAGCAGUGGGGAAUAUUGGACAAUGGGCGCAAGCCUGAUCCAGCCAUGCCGCGUGAGUGAUGAAGGCCUUAGGGUUGUAAAGCUCUUUCACCGAUGACGAUAAAUGACGGUAGUCGGAGAAGAAGCCCCGGCUAACUCGUGCCAGCAGCCGC